GAGUUUGAUCGUGGCUCAGAUUGAACGCUGGCGGCAUGCCUUACACAUGCAAGUCGAACGGCAGCAUGUUCUAGCUUGCUAGAUUGAUGGCGAGUGGCGAACGGGUGAGUAAUACAUCGGGAACGUGCCCCUGUAGUGGGGGAUAACUAGUCGAAAGAUUAGCUAAUACCGCAUACGACCUGAGGGUGAAAGUGGGGGACCGGCAAGGCCUCAUGCUAUAGGAGCGGCCGAUGUCUGAUUAGCUAGUUGGUGGGGUAAAGGGCCCACCAAGGCGACGAUCAGUAGCUGGUCUGAGAGGACGAUCAGCCACACUGGGACUGAGACACGGCCCCAGACUCCUACGGGAGGCAGCAGUGGGGGAAUUUUGGACAAUGGGCGAAAGCCUGAUCCAGCAUGCCGCGUGUGUGAGAAGG
RNAcentral lists this ribosomal RNA (413 nucleotides) under uncultured microorganism. RNAcentral's name for it is "bacterial SSU rRNA". It matches the Rfam family "Bacterial small subunit ribosomal RNA", at positions 9 to 413 of the family's 1533-position model. The record is from RNAcentral.